Molecule: ribosomal RNA, 465 nt
Filed under: uncultured bacterium
Lineage: Bacteria
Description: partial 16S ribosomal RNA
Rfam family: Bacterial small subunit ribosomal RNA
Source: RNAcentral
CCUACGGGGGGCAGCAGUGGGGAAUAUUGCGCAAUGGGCGAAAGCCUGACGCAGCGACGCCGCGUGAGGGAUGAAGGUCUUCGGAACGUAAACCUCUGUCAGCAGGGAAGAACGGUCACUGUGCUAAUCAGCAGUGAAUUGACGGUACCUGCAAAGGAAGCACCGGCUAACGCCGUGCCAGCAGCCGCGGCAAUACGGAGGGUGCGAGCGUUAAUCGGAAUUACUGGGCGUAAAGCGCUCGUAGGCGGGAUGUCAAGUCAAGGGGGAAAUCCCCGCGCUCAACGUGGGAACUGCCUUUGAUACGGGCAAACUGGAGUGUGUGAGAGGAUAGUGGAAUUCCAGGUGUAGUGGUGAAAUCCGUAGAUAUCUGGAGGAACAUCAGUGGCGAAGGCGACUAUCUGGCACAUAACUGACGCUGAGGAGCGAAAGCGUGGGUAGCAAACAGGAUUAGAUACCCGAGUAGUC